UGCCAGCCGCCGCGGUAAUACGAAGGGUGCUAGCGUUGUUCGGAAUUACUGGGCGUAAAGAGCGCGCGGGCGGAUUGGUAAGUCAGAUGUGAAAUCUCGGGGCUCAACCCCGAAACUGCGUCUGUAACUAUUAAUCUAGAGUGUUGGAGGGGGAAGUGGAAUUUCGCAUGUAGGGGUAAAAUCCGUAGAGAUGCGAAGGAACACCAGUGGCGAAGGCGACUUCCUGGACAACAACUGACGCUGAGAUGCGAAAGCGUGGGGAGCAAACAGGAUUAGAUA
This 279-nucleotide ribosomal RNA is filed under the name uncultured bacterium. Its description in RNAcentral is "partial 16S ribosomal RNA". It matches the Rfam family "Bacterial small subunit ribosomal RNA", at positions 506 to 784 of the family's 1533-position model. The record is from RNAcentral.